ACGCAAUAGAUACCCAGGUAGUCCACGCCGUAAACGUUGGGCGCUAGGUGUGGGGGCCAUUCCACGGUCUCCGUGCCGCAGCUAAACGCAUUAAGCGCCCCGCCUGGGGAGUACGGCCGCAAGGCUAAAACUCAAAGGAAUUGACGGGGGCCCGGCACAAGCGGCGGAGCAUGUUGCUUAAUUCGAUGCAACGCGAAGAACCUUACCUAGGCUUGACAUGCACGGAAAUCUCGCAGAGAUGCGGGGUUCCGUAAGGGCCGUGCACAGGUGGUGCAUGGUUGUCGUCAGCUCGUGUCGUGAGAUGUUGGGUUUAAAGUCCCGCAACGAGCGCAACCCUCGUUCCAUGUUGCCAGCACGUGAUGGUGGGGACUCAUGGGAGACUGCCGGGGGUUCAACUCGGAGGAAGGUGGGGACGACGUCAAAUCAUCAUGCCCCGUUAUGUCUAGGGCUGCAAACAUGCUACAAUGG
RNAcentral lists this ribosomal RNA (468 nucleotides) under uncultured bacterium. RNAcentral describes it as "bacterial SSU rRNA". It matches the Rfam family "Bacterial small subunit ribosomal RNA", at positions 772 to 1233 of the family's 1533-position model. The record is from RNAcentral.